GCCUACACAUGCAAGUCGAGGGGUAACGUAAGUGCUUGCACUUGACGACGACCGGCGCACGGGUGCGGAACGCGUAUGGAACCUACCUUUAUCAGGGGGAUAGCCCAUGGAAACGUGGAUUAAUACCCCAUAGUAUUAAAUCAUUGCAUGAUGAUUUAAUUAAAGAAUUUCGGAUAGAGAUGGCCAUGCGUAUCAUUAGCUAGUAGGCGAGGUAACGGCUCACCUAGGCGACGAUGAUUAGGGGUCCUGAGAGGGAGAUCCCCCACACUGGUACUGAGACACGGACCAGACUCCUACGGGAGGCAGCAGUGAGGAAUAUUGGGCAAUGGAGGCAACUCUGACCCAGCCAUGCCGCGUGCAGGAAGACGGCCCUAUGGGUUGUAAACUGCUUUUAUACAGGAAGAACACCACCCACGUGUGGGUGACUGACGGUACUGUAAGAAUAAGGACCGGCUAACUCCGUGCCAGCAGCCGCGGUAAUACGGAGGGUCCAAGCGUUAUCCGGAAUCAUUGGGUUUAAAGGGUCCGUAGGCGGGCUAAUAAGUCAGAGGUGAAAGUUUGCAGCUCAACUGUAAAAUUGCCUUUGAUACUGUUAGUCUUGAGUUAUAGUGAAGUGGUUAGAAUAAGUGGUGUAGCGGUGAAAUGCAUAGAUAUCACUUAGAAUACCGAUUGCGAAGGCAGAUCACUAACUGUAUACUGACGCUGAGGGACGAAAGCAUGGGUAGCGAACGGGAUUAGAUACCCCGGUAGUCCAUGCUGUAAACGAUGGAUACUAGCUGUUGGCUUCGGUCAGUGGCUAAGCGAAAGUGAUAAGUAUCCCACCUGGGGAGUACGUUCGCAAGAAUGAAACUCAAAGGAAUUGACGGGGGCCCGCACAAGCGGGUGGAGCAUGUGGUUUAAUUCGAUGA
This 908-nucleotide ribosomal RNA is filed under the name uncultured Bacteroidota bacterium. Its description in RNAcentral is "bacterial SSU rRNA". It matches the Rfam family "Bacterial small subunit ribosomal RNA", at positions 46 to 957 of the family's 1533-position model. Lineage: Bacteria; Pseudomonadati; Bacteroidota. The record is from RNAcentral.